RNAcentral lists this transfer RNA (74 nucleotides) under Candidatus Collierbacteria bacterium. Its description in RNAcentral is "tRNA-Arg". It matches the Rfam family "tRNA". Rfam says of the family: Transfer RNA (tRNA) molecules are approximately 80 nucleotides in length. The record is from RNAcentral. Lineage: Bacteria; Candidatus Collieribacteriota.
GUCCUGGUAGCUCAGCUGGAUAGAGCGACUGCCUUCUAAGCAGUAGGUCGACGGUCCGAGUCCGUCCCAGGACA